ACCUGAAGAUAGGGAGGUGGCAGAGAUCUACAAAGAAAGUGCAAAUAUAAAUUUCUCUAUCAUAUUAGGUUACUUAAUCACUUAAUAAGAUUACAUAAACAAAUUUAAAGUACUUGGUGUAAAUCUGGCAAUUUAUAAAAUGCUGUGAGACUAUGGAAGACUGCUUGCCAAUGGAGGAGGAGGAACGAAUAGGAUGUUAACUGAGACUGCGAAGUUUGAGCUAAAUCUUGAAGGAAGAGAAGGAAUUCACCAGACUUACAGGUAAGAAACAGGAUUCCAGACAAAGAGAAAAGUAUCUGCUAAGGUGUGUAAGAGUGUGUUU
Molecule: long non-coding RNA, 322 nt
Filed under: Pan troglodytes (chimpanzee)
Lineage: Eukaryota; Metazoa; Chordata; Mammalia; Primates; Hominidae
Description: long non-coding RNA NONPTRT007075
Source: RNAcentral